Molecule: ribosomal RNA, 417 nt
Filed under: uncultured prokaryote
Description: bacterial SSU rRNA
Rfam family: Bacterial small subunit ribosomal RNA
Source: RNAcentral
GUGCCAGCCGCCGCGGUAAUACGUAGGGGGCAAGCGUUGUCCGGAAUCACUGGGUGUAAAGGGCGUGUAGGCGACUCUUUAAGUUGAAUGUGAAAUCUCUCGGCUCAACUGAGAACGGUCAUUCAAUACUGGAGGGAUACGAGGACGGAAGAGGGAAGUGGAAUUCUCGGUGUAGCGGUAAAAUGCGUAGAUAUCGAGAGGAACACCGGGGGCGAAGGCGGCUUCCUGGUCCGUUCCUGACGCUGAGGCGCGAAAGCGUGGGUAGCAAACGGGAUUAGAUACCCCGGUAGGCCAGGCCCUAAACGUUGACUACUAGGUGUUGGAGAGGUUCAAUCUCUUCAGUGCCGCAGCUAACGCGAUAAGUAGUCCACCUGGGGAGUACGGCCGCAAGACUGAAACUCAAAGGAAUUGACGGGG